CAACCUUGGACAUACUGUCCUUGAUGGAAUCCAUACCAAUCAUUAAGCAAAUGACAUGACGAGGACUAUAUUUAUUGAGUACUCUAAUGUGAAGCAAUUGCAUUGAAGGUCACAAUUAACAGCUUCCUUGUAUCCAUGGCCAUUGCGGUAUGACCUUGCAGAUUCUUCCACCAAGAGCCCUGGAAUCAGCCAUUUCUCCAAGGACUCCUGGUACCCUUCAAUGGAGAAUAGUAUUUCGACGACAAGAUCUGAAUGUCAGCAUCUGUAUGGCCAACAACAUUCUCUGACUAUGAUCAUCAAAGCCACGAUGCCGGUGCUUCUGUACUGGGACAGGAAGAUUUGCUGAGUUGCUGAGGCACUGCAGAAUGAGGAGUGGUCCCUCUCCCCAUCAUUCCUAACAUCUCAUUUGCAGAAUUUGUGCUUCCUCUCUGCUCUGAGUAAUUAGAAGUUCUGGUUUCCAGAGGACUGAGGGUGAUACUUCUUACCAGGGUCAUAAGAAAAUGUCCCUUAGGCUCCAGGCUAUGGUUUAUGCCCAUUUGUUUAGGGCCCCUCAUCCCAAAAAUAUCAUGCAAAGAAAUUAAAUACUCCACUGGCAGAUAAUGGGAGUCACUAUGAAGUCUCUUGAUGAUUUAAUGCUCAGUGAAAACAGCAAAUGGGCUAUUCCAGCAACCGAAGCCCUGACAAAGACUUCAUAGCUAGGGGUUUAGACCCCUUAGUUGUGAAGCAGGUUGGCAUCACCCCACAGGGGCAGCAGACCUAGACCAGUUGAAGU
Molecule: long non-coding RNA, 772 nt
Organism: Mustela erminea (ermine)
Lineage: Eukaryota; Metazoa; Chordata; Mammalia; Carnivora; Mustelidae
Exons: 4
Source: RefSeq, a predicted model, not a curated record